CAAUAGCCGUCAGUGGGACAUCAUAGAGGGUGACAAUCCCGUCCUUGACGCCAACGUACGAGUCCUUUACGAUGCCUAUCUCAGAGAGUCGAGCAGUUUGGGAUUGCUGCUUUAACAUGGGAGGUAGAUUCCUUCUAAAGCUAAAUACAGGCGAGAGACCGAUAGAGAACAAGUACCGCAAGGGAAAGAUGAAACAGAACUCUGUGAAGGGAGUCAAAAGGCGUGAAAUUGUUGCGAGAGAAGCGAUCAAGUCAGCGUAGCUAGGCCCAUCUUUGGACUAGCUUUGCCAGCGGUCUUGUCCUGGACUUGACUUUUGCCCAGCCCGGUCUGCACGGGUAGCCCUCGGGGGUCAGUGGCGUAGCUGGUGGAAUGGCUUGGAAUCGACCCGUCUUGAAACACGGACCAAGGAGUCUAACAUGUAUGCGAGUAUAAGGGUGGCAAACCCGUAUGCGCAAUGAAGGUGACUUUCGACGAUUGAGAAUGGCCUGACGACCAGACAAGCAAUAUUUGUUCCUCGGACGGCCAUUGCCCAAGUUCCGUGGUAGACCCACGAACAUGGAGUUGGAGCAUACAUGCUAGACCCGAAAGAUGGUGAACUAUGCCUGGACAAAGCGAAGCCAAAGGAAACUCUGGUGGAGGCUUGUAGCGAUUCUGACGUGCAAAUCGAUCGUCUGAUCUGGGUAUAGGGGCGAAAGACUAAU
RNAcentral lists this ribosomal RNA (701 nucleotides) under Cantharellus floridulus. RNAcentral describes it as "LSU rRNA". It matches the Rfam family "Eukaryotic large subunit ribosomal RNA", at positions 180 to 935 of the family's 3401-position model. The record is from RNAcentral. Lineage: Eukaryota; Fungi; Basidiomycota; Agaricomycetes; Cantharellales; Hydnaceae.